CAAAUUAGAGCUUGAAAUAAAGUAUUUCAUUUACAUUGAGAAGAUAUUAUAUAAUAAUUAAUUUGG
Molecule: transfer RNA, 66 nt
Filed under: Rhagastis mongoliana
Lineage: Eukaryota; Metazoa; Arthropoda; Insecta; Lepidoptera; Sphingidae
Description: tRNA-Val
Source: RNAcentral